AGUGAACGCUGGCGGUAGGCCUAACACAUGCAAGUCGAACGGCAGCACAGUAAGAGCUUGCUCUUACGGGUGGCGAGUGGCGGACGGGUGAGGAAUACAUCGGAAUCUACUUUUUCGUGGGGGAUAACGUAGGGAAACUUACGCUAAUACCGCAUACGACCUACGAGUGAAAGCAGGGGAUCUUCGGACCUUGCGCGAUUGAAUGAGCCGAUGUCGGAUUAGCUAGUUGGCGGGGUAAAGGCCCACCAAGGCGACGAUCCGUAGCUGGUCUGAGAGGAUGAUCAGCCACACUGGAACUGAGACACGGUCCAGACUCCUACGGGAGGCAGCAGUGGGGAAUAUUGGACAGUGGGCGCAAGCCUGAUCCAGCCAUACCGCGUGGGUGAAGAAGGCCUUCGGGUUGUAAAGCCCUUUUGUUGGGAAAGAAAAGCAGCAGGUUAAUACCCCGCUGUUCUGACGGUACCCAAAGAAUAAGCACCGGCUAACUUCGU
Molecule: ribosomal RNA, 491 nt
Filed under: uncultured bacterium
Lineage: Bacteria
Description: partial 16S ribosomal RNA
Rfam family: Bacterial small subunit ribosomal RNA
Source: RNAcentral